UACAGAGGGUGCGCGCGUUAAUCGGAAUUACUGGGCGUAAAGCGCACGUAGGCGGCUUGGUAUGUCGGGUGUGAAAUCCCCGGGCUCAACCUGGGAACUGCAUCCGAAACUGCCUUGCUCGAGUAUGGGAGAGGGAAGUGGAAUUUCCGGUGUAGCGGUGAAAUGCGUAGAUAUCGGAAGGAACAUCAGUGGCGAAGGCGACUUCCUGGACCAAUACUGACGCUCAGGUGCGAAAGCGUGGGGAGCAAACAGG
Molecule: ribosomal RNA, 253 nt
Filed under: uncultured bacterium
Lineage: Bacteria
Description: partial 16S ribosomal RNA
Rfam family: Bacterial small subunit ribosomal RNA
Source: RNAcentral